RNAcentral lists this ribosomal RNA (378 nucleotides) under Escherichia coli. RNAcentral describes it as "bacterial SSU rRNA". It matches the Rfam family "Bacterial small subunit ribosomal RNA", at positions 45 to 420 of the family's 1533-position model. Lineage: Bacteria; Pseudomonadati; Pseudomonadota; Gammaproteobacteria; Enterobacterales; Enterobacteriaceae. The record is from RNAcentral.
GGCCUACACAUGCAAGUCGAACGGUAACAGGAAUCAGCUUGCUGCUUCGCUGACGAGUGGCGGACGGGUGAGUAAUGUCUGGGAAACUGCCUGAUGGAGGGGGAUAACUACUGGAAACGGUAGCUAAUACCGCAUAACGUCGCAAGACCAAAGAGGGGGACCUUCGGGCCUCUUGCCAUCGGAUGUGCCCAGAUGGGAUUAGCUAGUAGGUGGGGUAACGGCUCACCUAGGCGACGAUCCCUAGCUGGUCUGAGAGGAUGACCAGCCACACUGGAACUGAGACACGGUCCAGACUCCUACGGGAGGCAGCAGUGGGGAAUAUUGCACAAUGGGCGCAAGCCUGAUGCAGCCAUGCCGCGUGUAUGAAGAAGGCCUUCG